RNAcentral lists this ribosomal RNA (429 nucleotides) under uncultured Cellulomonas sp. Its description in RNAcentral is "bacterial SSU rRNA". It matches the Rfam family "Bacterial small subunit ribosomal RNA", at positions 952 to 1382 of the family's 1533-position model. Lineage: Bacteria; Bacillati; Actinomycetota; Actinomycetes; Micrococcales; Cellulomonadaceae. The record is from RNAcentral.
CGAUGCAACGCGAAGACCUUACCAAGGCUUGACAUACACCGGUAACGCCCAGAGAUGGGUGCCCCUUUGUGGUCGGUGGACAGGUGGUGCAUGGUUGUCGUCAGCUCGUGUCGUGAGAUGUUGGGUUAAGUCCCGCAGCGAGCGCAACCCUCGUCCUAUGUUGCCAGCGGGUCAUGCCGGGGACUCAUGGGAGACUGCCGGGGUCAACUCGGAGGAAGGUGGGGAUGACGUCAAAUCAUCAUGCCCCUUAUGUCUUGGGCUUCACGCAUGCUACAAUGGCCGGUACAAAGGGCUGCGAUACCGCGAGGUGGAGCGAAUCCCAGAAAGCCGGUCUCAGUUCGGAUUGGGGUCUGCAACUCGACCCCAUGAAGUCGGAGUCGCUAGUAAUCGCAGAUCAGCAACGCUGCGGUGAAUACGUUCCCGGGCCUU